This is a non-coding RNA of Pelobates cultripes (western spadefoot toad), 233 nucleotides long. The record is from the annotation of a GenBank genome assembly. Lineage: Eukaryota; Metazoa; Chordata; Amphibia; Anura; Pelobatidae.
GGAGGCAGAAGGGUGGCUGGAAUUUUCAAAAUUAUGAAAUGUAUGUGUGUAUGUGUUUAUGUAUAUCAGAUUGAACGUGUAUGUAUCUAUGUCAAGUUGUGUGUAUGUUUCAGUGUGUGCAUCAGUGUGUGUGUAUGUGUGUGCAUGCAUCUGUAUGUCAAGAUAAGUAUAUGUCAGUGUGUGUAUAUAUGUGUCCGGGUGUGCAUCUGUGUAUGUGUGUGUGCAUUUGUGUG